AGCUGCCUGUUAGCUGUCUGUUAGCAGCCUGUUAGCUGCCUGUUAGCUGCCUGUUAGCAGGCUGAAGCCGCGCUGCUUCACAGAAACAUGAAGACGCGUUUAAAGACUGUCGGACCUUUCUGCUCUGUUCUCUGGCGACUAACGUAAUAAACUCAUUGCAGGUUCUGAAGCCAAGAAAAUAAUGUAUUGCAGAUUGUAGGAGGUUAAGGUCUCUUUUGUUGGGACAGUGGAAACAAUAAAGGAGCAUGAAGUGUCAAAAGCAUUGCAAGUAAACAGACAAAGACAACAAAGUGUUGCGUUUAGGUCCCUGGUCCUCAUGAAGUUGUUACGCCUUUGCCAAUUUGUUAAAUUGCCUUGCAAAUAAAUGCUUUGCUAUUUGUUAAAAUCCAAAUCCUUUCAUGUAAUGAUGUUUCACAUGUCAUUUAUAUUCGCUCACACAAACACUUCCACUCAGCAAAAAGAGUGUUGAAAUUUCAGGGUUAAACAUUUCCGAGUUGAUUUUCACUCCCAGAGUGUAAUUUUAACACAUUCUGAUUUAAAUGGUGUUCAGUGUUGGAGUUAUUUGGCAGAGUUGAUCAUGUCAGUGUUAACCCAACUCCGCAGAGACGUAAUUAAGCUCGGCCCACGCCUUUCACCUCUUCGGUUAGAGACAGAGAAGACAAGUCUGCGCCAUUUUCUACCUCUCAUGCAGUACCACACGUCAAAAUGCUGGUCCAGGUGAAGUACAGCCAACAGCAGAAGUAUGUAAAGUUGGACGACGAUGAAGGACUGUUUGACUUUCUGCAAUUCCAUGAAAAGGUCAUGGAGAGAUUUGCCCUGCCACCUGAUGCAAAUGUUAUAUACAAGGAUGCAACAGGGACAGAAGUUGAUGCAGAAAUAUUCAGCGACCUCGCUGGACAAGGCAAUGUGGUCCUGACAGUUUUCUCAGAUCAGGAAUUCUCUGAUUUCUCCUUGUCUUCUGAGACGUCUGACUCAAGCUUCAGCUCAAGUGCAUCAACUACAAUCCUAGAUGUUCCUAACAAGAGACAAAGAAUUGAGGAUACACGUGAUGCUGUGUCUGCUAAACAGUUGAUAGAAGCUGUGCUAAGAGGCAAGUCCGGAGGUGAAGAAGUACUACAGGAGUACCAAACAACAGAAACCCUAACAGAUGCUGCAAGAAGACAAAUGGUUAAUAUCCUGGUGGCUCACAUGAUUGACAAUCAUGGGCACUGCCCCACUAAAACAAUCAGAAGAUUAUGCACGUGGGAUAGUGAUGCUGUUCCCUUCCCUUAAGGAUCCAUACUCCAAGAAGGGCUAUGAACACUUCUAUGAUGCUGCAAGCAGCACGGGAUACAUUUCUUGGCGUCUGAAAACAGUCCAGAGGAAGAUUCGUCAAGGAUCUGCACAGCCACCAAAUAGCCCAAUUGACUUUUCUCCAGGAGGCCCAAAUUGCCAAAGGACUGUUAAUGUUGAAGGGCAGCUUGAUGGUGAUGCUUGCCAAGAGGCCAUGUCUUUGCUUAACCAUACAGCAGACAAUUCCCUGAUUUUCCAGAAGAUGAGUGAGACCUUUCAGCAUCGUCAGAAGCUUGUUAAUGACCCAGGCAGAAGUGUUGAUAUACUCUCCAGCUUCCCGAGAUUUCUGGAUACAAAAGGAUUGGUGGACCAAGACUUCACUCUCCUAUUUGACGAAGACACAUCCUCCAGGCUUCUUCAGAAAUGGGAUUUGUUCUUCAAGCCAAAUGUCAUUAAAGAGGCUAAGCGGCUCACCUCAACACCAGAGUUGCGUCGCUUGGUGCAGUCAGCAGAAAGUCCCCCAGGAAGUGAUCUUGAUGAGGCAACAACCUACGACCAAGAAAUGGCCUCCCUGUUGUUGCUGUUACAUCUCCUUCCACCACCUCCAGGGGGACUGAAGUCUCCAAAAAUGAGUGCAUGUGAUGCAGUUGAAAGACUUGUUGUCUUUCAUAAGUCAUGCUGCAGUUUGGAGGAGCAUCUCCGCAACCAGCAGGGUCGGCAGCCGUACCUCCUCGCUGUUGGGCGUCAGAAGAGCAAGAUUGACAGCUUCUACAUCACCAUGGAUAAGCGUCUCAUCCCAUGCAAGGCAAACCGCUCCCUCGGGGCAUGUGAUGAACUUUUCAAAGCACAUUUUGUGUUUAAUUUGUCUUACGAUGUGGCACUUGUGAAUUUUUAUACAUUCCUGCAGACAACAGUGUAUAAGAUUGAUGUGGGGAAAAUGAAGGAGUCACCCAGAGUUAAAGACUUGAGAGCAAGACUGCUUAACCAGCCAGUAGCAUUCUCACCCUGUGAGUAAGAAGCUAUAACAAUGCUGACCUGUUUCAUGUGUCAGAAAAAUUAUCCCAGCAGUCAGCAGUUGAUUUCACAUUUCAGAGUUGAACAUGGUUACUAUCCUGGACCCAAGUUCAAAUUGUUUUGUUCUCAGCAAGGCUGUAGGCAUCAGUUCCUAACAUAUGCAGGUUUUCGAAAGCACCUUAAUAGUGUUCAUAGCAUUUUUCAGCAAACUCAAACUUCAACUGUUGCAUGUUCAUCUAGUGAGUCAGUUGCAACUUCAUCUCAGGCACAUACUUUGGAGGACCAAUUUAUUCCACAAAAUCAAUGUAGUUCUUCCAGUAUUUCUUCUGAGGCCAAUGAUUCAGGACUUACUAAAGAUCCAACUAAAGAAAUGUGUGCAUCCAUCGUGGCCAAAUUACAGGGGAGUGGGAUAUCCAACAGUUUGGUAUUCUCAAUUGUAGGAGAUUUGGAAGAACUAACGAGUGAACUUCGCUCACAAGCAAAGCAUACAGCUAUUUCUGCUUUACCUAUAACUGACCCCAACAUAUCUGUGAUAAAUGAAUCUUUUGAAGAUUAUGAAAAUCCGUUUUCAAAUCUGAACACAGAAUGGAAACAAAAUAAAUACUUCCACCAAAAAUGGGGAGUUGUUGAGCCAGUAGAAAUAACACUGGGAGUGAGAUAUGACAACAGGCGAAAUCAGAAAUCCGGUACUUAUGAUCAAGUACCUGUGAAGGAUACUUUUAUCUAUGUGCCAAUUUUAGAAACAUUGAAGUUCAUGUGCAGAAAUCCAGACAUUUGUGUUUUGCUAAAGAAGGAGUGUAGAUCAGAGCCUGACACUUAUACUGACUUUUUUGAUGGAAGUUAUUUUAAAACCCACCCUUUGUUUACAGCUAAUAAACAUGCAUUGCAAAUUCAACUAUACUAUGACGAUUUUGAAACAGCCAAUCCCCUUGGCUCCAAAUGUGGAAUACACAAAAUUGGCUGUAUUUAUUUUGUUGUAAGAAAUUUGCCCCCAAAAUUUAAUUCGGUUUUGAUGAACAUUCAUUUGGUAUCACUUUUUCACACACAAGAUCUGCGCAAGUAUGGUUUUGAUGUUAUACUAGAACCGUUGAUAAAUGAUGUGAAAAAACUAGAAAGCCAAGGGCUAAGUCUUCCAUUUGUAGAUGAGCAGGUAUAUGGUACAAUCUGUCAGAUUACUGGAGAUAAUCUAGGGAUGCACACAAUUCUUGGUUUUAAUGAGUCAUUUAGUAGCCGUCAUUUCUGUUGCCUUUGUUUGAUUGAGAAGAAUGAUUGUCAAACGGUAUACAGUGAGGAUGAUCCUAAAGUGAUCCUUCGUGGAAAAGAUAUGUUUGAUAUGCAUUGCCAGUCUCUCCAGGAAAACCCACAAUUUAAGUCACUUUAUGGUUUGAAAAAAAGAUCUGCACUUAAUUCAUUGAAUUAUUUCCAUGUUUGCAAUAACUAUUCAUUUGAUAUCAUGCAUGAUCUUCUUGAGGGUGUGGUUCAGUAUGAGAUCAAAUUGCUUUUUGGAUAUCUCACACAACACUUUAUGGAUUUUUAGAACGAAAAAAUCGUCCUACAAAGAUUAUUUUGGAGUGCUGGCAAUGGCAUUGGUUUGAAUUCUAUUCAGACAUUGUGUCUUGUGAAAAACAUCCCACUGUUGUUUGGUGAAAUUAUUCCUGCAGGAAACAAAAACUGGAAUUUGUUACUGUUGUUACUUCAAAUAAUGAACAGUUGUUUCACCUUCUCUCACUCUAGGUAUGACUAUAUUUAAAGCAUUUGAUUGUUGACCACCACAAACUCUUUAAGCACUUGUAUCCACAUAGAAACUUGAUACCUAAGCAUCAUUUUAUGAUCCAUUACCCAUCUUCUAUAAGGAAAAUUGGCCCCUCAUUAUAUACGUGGUGUAUGAGGUUUGAGGCCAAACACAAGCUGUUUAAAGAUUCUUUAAAAAAUUUCAAAAACAUAACCAAAUCGCUUGCUAUAAAGCAUCAGAUGGCCAUUGCUUAUCACUGGGAAACCUUCACCCUCAAAAAUGAGUAUGGGCCCAUUAAAUCUUUUCUCUUCAGAGAUGAGAAUGUGGUCAACAAUGAAAUGCUUGAAACAAUCUUGUCAAAAGAUGUUUUCUCAACUAGUUGGGUUAAAGUUGAUGGUGUAGAGUAUAAAGCUGGACUAGUUAUUUGCAGUGCAAUGGAAGAAGACAUGCCAGUCUUUUGUCAAAUAAGUGAUGUACUUUUGGUUGAAGAUCACUUAUUUUUUUUGACAAACAAGCUAUUUACAGAGAAUUUUGAUGACCAUCAUCAUGCAUUCAGAGUAUUACGAAGUGCGGAAAGAUGUUUACUAAAAAUGUCUGAGCUUAAAUUUCAUAAACCGUUUGAUAUUCAAAGCUCAUACAAUGUUUCGGAUGAAAGUUUGUACAUUAUACCUUCAUUCACAAUGUUUUAAUUCAACUGACUGCAAGGGAGAAAAGGA
Gasterosteus aculeatus aculeatus (three-spined stickleback) is the source of this 4734-nucleotide long non-coding RNA. The record is from Ensembl. NCBI's taxonomy places the organism in Eukaryota, Metazoa, Chordata, Actinopteri, Perciformes, Gasterosteidae.